This 502-nucleotide ribosomal RNA is filed under the name uncultured Enterobacterales bacterium. RNAcentral describes it as "bacterial SSU rRNA". It matches the Rfam family "Bacterial small subunit ribosomal RNA", at positions 30 to 519 of the family's 1533-position model. The record is from RNAcentral. Lineage: Bacteria; Pseudomonadati; Pseudomonadota; Gammaproteobacteria; Enterobacterales.
AUUGAACGCUGGCGGCAGGCCUAACACAUGCAAGUCGAACGGUAGCACAGAGGAGCUUGCUCCUUGGGUGACGAGUGGCGGACGGGUGAGUAAUGUCUGGGAAACUGCCCGAUGGAGGGGGAUAACUACUGGAAACGGUAGCUAAUACCGCAUAACGUCGCAAGACCAAAGAGGGGGACCUUCGGGCCUCUUGCCAUCGGAUGUGCCCAGAUGGGAUUAGCUAGUAGGUGGGGUAACGGCUCACCUAGGCGACGAUCCCUAGCUGGUCUGAGAGGAUGACCAGCCACACUGGAACUGAGACACGGUCCAGACUCCUACGGGAGGCAGCAGUGGGGAAUAUUGCACAAUGGGCGCAAGCCUGAUGCAGCCAUGCCGCGUGUAUGAAGAAGGCCUUCGGGUUGUAAAGUACUUUCAGCGAGGAGGAAGGCAUUAAGGUUAAUAACCGCAACGAUUGACGUUACUCGCAGAAGAAGCACCGGCUAACUCCGUGCCAGCCGCCGCG